RNAcentral lists this ribosomal RNA (172 nucleotides) under uncultured bacterium. Its description in RNAcentral is "partial 16S ribosomal RNA". It matches the Rfam family "Bacterial small subunit ribosomal RNA", at positions 335 to 524 of the family's 1533-position model. The record is from RNAcentral. RNAcentral also lists the same sequence under 1 other name.
ACUCCUACGGGAGGCAGCAGUGGGGAAUAUUGCACAAUGGGCGAAAGCCUGAUGCAGCAACGCCGCGUGAGCGAUGAAGGUCUUCGGAUCGUAAAGCUCUGUCCUCAAGGAAGAUAAUGACGGUACUUGAGGAGGAAGCCCCGGCUAACUACGUGCCAGCAGCCGCGGUAAU